Oncorhynchus keta (chum salmon) is the source of this 793-nucleotide long non-coding RNA. RefSeq lists it as uncharacterized. The record is from RefSeq and is a predicted model, not a curated record. Lineage: Eukaryota; Metazoa; Chordata; Actinopteri; Salmoniformes; Salmonidae. The transcript has 3 exons.
CUGCAGUGGGAGUUGUGACUGUACUCUAUAGGUGUAACCAUAAACAGGGUUAGGGUUAUAGGGGAUCCACUGCAGUGGGAGUUGUGACUGUACUCUAUAGGUGUAACCAUAAACAGGGUUAGGGUUAUAGGGGAUCCACUGCAGUGGGAGUUGUGACUGUACUCUAUAGGUGUAACCAUAAACAGGGUUAGGGUUAUAGGGGAUCCACUGCAGUGGGAGUUGUGACUGUACUCUAUAGGUGUAACCAUAAACAGGGUUAGGGUUAUAGGGGAUCCACUGCAGUGGGAGUUGUGACUGUACUCUAUAGGUGUAACCAUAAACAGGGUUAGGGUUAUAGGGGAUCCACUGCAGUGGGAGUUGUGACUGUACUCUAUAGGUGUAACCAUAAACAGUCUCCUGUUUGAAAACACCAACAAACUAAAAAACGUUGGCACCUUUGUGUAGAAAUGCUAACCGUCAUCACAGAACAGAUGGAUCAGAAAUAGAGCAGGGUGAAACGAGGCUAAGGAGUUAGUCACUAACCUACAUGUAGCCUUAUGAAAUGAGAGACAGAAACAACCUAGAUCCAAAUAUAAAGGUCCUGAACAACUGACAUGUCCCCCCCUCUAACAGACACAAUACAUUGUCAUCCUUACCUCUUAAAACAACAGUCAAUGUUCAGAUAGUGAUAUAUCCUAUAUAAAAGGGCUCUGCUAGCAGCUCUAUUAAAACAACAGUCAAUGUUCAGAUAGUGAUAUAUCCUAUAUAAAAGGGCUCUACAGUGCUAGCAGCUCUAUUAAAACAACAGUCAAUG